UACAGAGGGGGCGAGCGUUGUUCGGAAUUACUGGGCGUAAAGGGCGCGUAGGCGGCCUUCUAAGUCGAACGUGAAAUCCCCGGGCUCAACCCGGGAACUGCGUCCGAUACUGGGAGGCUUGAAUCCGGGAGAGGGAUGUGGAAUUCCGAGUGUAGAGGUGAAAUUCGUAGAUAUUCGGAAGAACACCAGUGGCGAAGGCGAGUCCCUGGACAACUCCUGACACUGAGGCACGAAAGCUAGGGGAGCAAACAGG
RNAcentral lists this ribosomal RNA (253 nucleotides) under uncultured prokaryote. RNAcentral's name for it is "partial 16S ribosomal RNA". It matches the Rfam family "Bacterial small subunit ribosomal RNA", at positions 524 to 776 of the family's 1533-position model. The record is from RNAcentral.